Molecule: ribosomal RNA, 406 nt
Filed under: Verrucomicrobiota bacterium
Lineage: Bacteria; Pseudomonadati; Verrucomicrobiota
Description: Verrucomicrobia bacterium partial 16S ribosomal RNA
Rfam family: Bacterial small subunit ribosomal RNA
Source: RNAcentral
UGGGGAAUAUUGGGCAAUGGGCGAAAGCCUGACCCAGCAACGCCGCGUGAGUGAUGAAGGCCUUCGGGUUGUAAAACUCUUUGGACAGGGACGAAGAAAGUGACGGUACCUGUAGAACAAGCCACGGCUAACUACGUGCCAGCAGCCGCGGUAAUACGUAGGUGGCGAGCGUUAUCCGGAUUUACUGGGCGUAAAGCGCACGUAGGCGGACUUUUAAGUCAGGGGUGAAAUCCCGGGGCUCAACCCCGGAACUGCCUUUGAUACUGGAAGUCUUGAUUUGGGAAGAGGUGGGUGGAUUUCCGGGUGAAGGGGUGAAAUUCGUAGAUAUUCGGGGGAAAACCAGUGGCGAAGGCGGUUAACUGGACCAUUACUGCCGUGGGGGUGCGAAGGGGUGGGGAGCAACAGG